AUGCAGGUGAGGGGGCAACUGGCCAAAGCUGACCUCCAGAGAGAUGAGGGAGGGAGCAGGAGCCCUGCACCUCCUGAGCAGAGCUGCGGAAGUCAGACCUCUGGGCCCGGGUCUGCAGCCCAGGCCAAUGCCCCAGUGCCCCAAUGCCUCUGGGAGGCAAGCUCAUGGGACCAUGUGGAUGGGGGGGCCUGUGCUUCUGACUGUACACCUGAGAGAACCCUUCAUGGGCCUGGUGCCACCUCUUGCAGAAACAAAGCAGGACUCAGUCUCCGGAGGACAUGCCCAACCAGGCACCAGGGGCCCAGCAGCUGUGUUCCCAGCAGCCCCACAUGGGGACACCGCCCACAGCAGCCACUGGGGUGGGAAGAAGACUGUGCCUCUCUACUGCUUGGAUCUGGGGAAGAGAAUGGAGAGAGAACCAGAACAUCCAGACCUGCAGAGUCAGAGAAAUUUAAAUCAGGAGUGUGCUCCUGCUGGUCAUGGAAUUUGCAAUCCGAUCCUCACGAAAGCCCCACUGAAGUGGCAGUUGCAUCUGUCACCCAUUUUACAGAUGAUGGAACUGAGGUACAGAGGACCCUGAAGUCACAAGGUGCAGGGCUGGCAUCCACCGGGUCUGGAUUCUUAGCCACGCCACUUCCAUUCCUCAGAAAGGAAGACAAGGGGCAUCUGACUCUGGUUUUUAGCACCAGAAACAGUUCUUCCAAUAAAACUCUGGCUGGAAGCCCAGUUCAUAAAAUGGGUAGCAGAGGGGUCACUCUGGUGCAGAAGUGAGGCUGAGAGCCUCUGGCUCUUGGACCUCUGCCCCUACGGCACCCCAGAACCCAGGGGAUCCAAGGACCCUAGCCUGAAAGUUGCCCAGCGAGGUGAUUCUGAAGGCCAGGGUUCUAGAAAUACUGCUUCUGCUGAAAGGGACGAAGACAGAAAUGUGUUACGGGGUCAUGUAAACAGAUGAGGAGUCAUCUUGCUUUAAAUAAGAUUGCCCUCCAUUAUCCUGAAUCAUGGCCCCCAUGGAGAGUUUUUGUGUGGAAGACUCACUUAGCCUACUUCGGUUUCAAAAACAAAACAAAACAACCCUAGACCCUCAGCAGCUGGCUGGAAUAAAUGCAAGCCCUCACUCUCCCAGCCCUCAUUAGAACAGGCCCCAGUCUCCCCUGUUUCCUUUGCUGCUGGGCCUCCAGCUGUGCCGACGCAGGGCAGGGGCCCAGUGAUUUUUGUCGAAUGAACAGAUGGCUGAAUGAGAGAGCCAAUGAAUGGACCAAUGAGUAGACGGACAGACCGGGGCUUGAUUGGUCGACCUUCUUGCAAACAGACAUCAACACAGAGCCUUCAGCCACACUGGCUUUGAGAUUUGAGGAACAAAUCAAGAUGAAGAGUAGUACUGGAUUUGGGGCUUCCCUGGGGGCUCAGUGGUAAAGAAUCCACCUGGCAACGCAGGAGCCAUGGGUUCACUCCUUGGUCCAGGAAGAUCCCACAGGCUAUGGAGCAACUAAGCCCGUGCGCCACAACUUCUGAGCCCAGGAGUCCCAACUACUGAGCUCACAUUCUGCAACUACUGAGCCCACAUCCUGCAACUACCAAAGCCUGUGAGCCCUAGAGCCUGUGUUCUGCAACAAGAGCAGCCACAGAAAUGAGAAGCCCAAGCAACACAAAUAGAGAGUAGCUGCCUCUUGCCACAACUAGAGAAAAGUCCAUGCAGCAAGAAAGACCCAGCACAGCCCAAAGUAAAGAAAACAAAUAAAGAAAAUAAACAAAAAGAAACGUGGAGGCAUGAGGGAGUCAGCAGGUCACAGAGGAACAGCAGACUUUGCUGCUGCAGGUGAGGGCCACCGUGGACGCUACAAUCAGCGGAAGAAUGUUUAAGAGAAGCAAGAUCUGCAUGGUCGCAAGUUAUUUCUCCCCAAACAUUCAUUAGCUACAGAGGAAAAAACAAUAAUUCUAUAAUAGAGAGAUCUGGAGGACGCCAGGGUCACUCGUGGACAAGGUUGGGAUCCCCAGCAAUGGCAUGAAGUGCCGUGUGCCUCCUGACGUUUUUUGCCAUUUUUCCGAUAAUACACAGCCCCCGUCCAAUCUUUAGAAAGCAUCAGACAAGCCCAAGUUGAGCAACAUUUCACAAAACACCUGGCGAGCGCUCUUUGAAAAGUAAAGUUCAUGGGAGAGAAGGAAAGACUGAGGAGGCUUUCCAGGUCGGAAAAGACGGAGGAGAUGUGCAGCCAAGGCCACUGAGAUGGGGCAGAACAAAUACACAUGGGGCUCAGUGGACCUGGUGCUUAACUGGCUUAAGACAGCAAAAGCGUCUCCACUCAGUUCUGGAGAUCAGAGCCCAACAUGAGGGCAGAUCUGUGCUCUUGCCAGAGCCCACCACAGCCCUGGGUGGGCAGGGUGGGCAGGGUGGGCAUCUGUUUCCUGCCUUUUCCCAGCAUCCCUUGACUCUUGGCCCCUCCUUCAUCCUCACAGCCCUCUGACCUCUGCUUCUGUCCUCACCUCUCCGGACACCCUGACCCUCCUGCCUCUCUUACAGGGCCUUUGUGACAGCACUGGGCCCACCUGGAUUGCCAGGCUACUCACCCCGUCCCAAGGUCCUCACCUUGGUCACACCUGCAAAGUCCCCUUUGCCAGGUUCAAUCACAUAUUCUUGGUCCCAGAAACUCUGAUGGGCUCACGCUGGGGUCAGGAAGCCUGCCUCCUAGGGCAUGGAUGGGGAACCCAAGGCCUGCUCAGCCCUGGUCGUGGAAUGACCCCCAGGAGACCUGCAUACACUCUUCACGUGGCAGACAUGCACCUGGAGAUGCACAGACAACUCUUCAGCCUUGCUGGACCCUGUGAGUCAGGUGAAUGAGCCCAUUUUACAGAUGAGGAGACUGAGUCUUGGCAAGUGGAUUUGCACAAAGUCUGGCAGAGGGUCGGGGUGGAGCUGAGUCAGUGUCCCUGCACUUUCUUGACAGUGUGUCUGAAUUACUCAACUCUGUGCCCUCUGCACACAGGCCCUCCGGUCCCCAGAGGAUCCUAGUUUCCCUGGCAUGGUUACUUCCCUUCAUGCCUGCAGAGAUGGGUGGGGGAGGGCAGGUGGGUGUGUCCUGCACUGGGGCAUUUUCCACCAGAACACAAGCCCGGCAGGUCUCAGUAAUGGCCCUCCACCGUGGGGAGUGGACUCAGGUCUGCAUGUCUUGCUUCUUCUCGCUUUCCCCAAGAUACUUUUGGCAACAGUGCCUGAGCCCCAUCAUCCUUCCUCCAGCCCCCUACGUCAGCACAACAUGUCCCUGCGGAUAGACGCCAAAGAUCAGCAGACAAGUGUGGGAUGAGGUGAGCUCUGAGCCAGCUGGACGCGAAACCUCCCCUGACAUGGCCAGAGUUACAUCACUGGGACGGGCAGGUGCUCCCCACCAGCCCAGUCCUGAAGGGGCUGGGGACAUUGCCUCAGUCGUGGCUCCUUCCACCUGUCUGCGCCUCUAGCGGCCCCUCCACUUCCCUCCUGCCUGUGAGGUUCCCUGGAAAAUUCUGUGUGAAGAGGCAGUCCCGAGAGGGGAGGGUGUACACCAUCCAGUCUCCACCCAGUCACGCCCCUGGAAGGGGCAGGAAGCUGGCCAGAGAGGGGACAGCAUUGUCCAAGGUCACUGGGAAGUGGGCCAUCCCUUGAAGACCCAAGAGGGGACACCCUGCCUGGUCAUCCCCCCAUCUGAUUCCGGGGAGCCACAGGAGCGUCUUCCUGGGAGAACCUCAGCUGGGGGAGGGCCAGACGGGCGUCUAGUGUCUUCAGGGGCCCCUGCCCUUCUCCUGCAUUGCCUUGUUUUGUCUUUCCAGAACCCGGGACUCCUGGUUCCUAAUCCAUACCCCCCACCAUGCUGGAGAAAUGUCCAGAACAUAACAAACACCCCAGUCCUGCUGCCUCAGCUGUCACACAGGUGGAGGGGUGAGCCAGCCACAGCCAUCUGGCCUCCAGUGUUGUACCUUCCGGCGUCUCUGAGUGACUUGGAGACAGUGGUUACCAGGCCCCUCUCCUCAGCCUUGGGGGUCCUUAACACAAGCAGGAGCAGGAGGCAGGUGGGAGGAUGGGAAGAGUCCUAUGAAGGCUGUCACAUCCCUGUCUGUCAUGUCCAUUUCAGCUUUACCACAACCCCAGGAGGGGCUCUGCCCCUUUUCUGGACAGGAGACUGAGGCCCCCAAACCCCACACCAUUCAUGGAUGUGUGCUAGGGGCUCCCUGUCACCCUGGGCCUCCCAGAGGCGAAAUCUGGGGCGACAGCCAGGGUGUUCAGGGCUAGGAGGGGGAGAUGGGCUCUGAGCCCGUUGGGCGCUCAGGCCUGAGCCAGUUCACACCUCCUGGACCCUCAGCCCCUUUGUCUAUAAAAUGAGGAGGAUGGUGCCCACUGCCCAGGUCAUCAAGAGAGUCAGUCCCAGGCACAGGCCAUGCCAGACCCUCUGCAGCCCCAGCCUGAGUUGUGGUCUCAUCUGGGGUCAUGCCCUCUGGAAGACCAUGGGCCUGAUGUGGGCUUGCCUGACAGAGCCCAGCCACCUGGAGGUGGCUACUCUCCUCAGGUAGCUGGCCUUAAAGCCCCACACUCAUCUGGGACCAUGGCUGGGGUCUGGCAGGAGAUGGAGCUCAUGCGCAGCAGGUCAUUGGCGGGACGGGGUAUGAUGUGGUCUGAGCCCUGUCGGAGGAAACCAGCGCCCAGGGCUGGCAGAGUGGAGGCUGGCACCACCCCAAGGUUGCAGGGCAAGGAGCGGGGCAGACCCUGGAGCCCGGAAAGAGCUGUCAGACCCUGGUCUGACACAAGAUCCCCAUGCUCCUUCCUCCUGCUUAUCUGACCCACAGGCAGCCGGAGCAUGGUGGUGGAGGGUGGUCGUCUGAGCAGGCAGGGGGCAGGGCAGGGGCAGAGCCUGGACUGCGGGGGUGAGUGGGGGUGGCACCUGCCCUCACCCCUCCCGGCUCUGGGGGUCCUUUAACUUCCCUGCCCACGAAGCAGGUGGCUUCUCCCCACAGUCAGCAUGCUGGCUGACCUUCUCCUCUGCCCACCCGCCUCCCCCUACACUGGAGUGUGCGAUGGUAACUGAGAGGCAGCAGCAGGCACAUUGCCCUCUGGGCACAGAGAGUGGGAGGAGGAGGUGGUGGGUGUGCUGACGAAGGCUCUUACCAGCCACUCAGCGGCAGGCAGAGCAGGUGGGGGGCUGCAGACAACCCCCAGGCUGCCCUGUACACCUGAUGCUGUGUGUGGACACAGGAAGUCCAUUUUUCAAGGCAU
This 5236-nucleotide long non-coding RNA is filed under the name Capra hircus (goat). Its description in RNAcentral is "lncRNA (ENSCHIG00010010666.1)". Lineage: Eukaryota; Metazoa; Chordata; Mammalia; Artiodactyla; Bovidae. The record is from RNAcentral.